AACAAGAAGAAGCAGAGACACGCUCUUUAGAAUCAUACCAUGAACGUUUAAAAGAGGAAGAUCUGUAGAUAAUUUCAGUGUACAAUGAGGUAUGCAGAGUUCUAAUUAACACCAGAAGUUCAAACUUGAGAACACAGAGAAGAAAAAUAAUAUAUAACUACUGAGGGUCCCAAGGACACAGCCAAAGGGUGGCUGUCUGCAAACCAGAAAGAGAUCCUCACCAGAACUGGACCAUACUGGCACCCUAAUCUCAGAAUCGAAGCCUC
This 266-nucleotide long non-coding RNA is filed under the name Homo sapiens (human). RNAcentral's name for it is "HSALNT0357884". Lineage: Eukaryota; Metazoa; Chordata; Mammalia; Primates; Hominidae. The record is from RNAcentral.